This 526-nucleotide ribosomal RNA is filed under the name uncultured bacterium. RNAcentral's name for it is "bacterial SSU rRNA". It matches the Rfam family "Bacterial small subunit ribosomal RNA", at positions 1 to 524 of the family's 1533-position model. The record is from RNAcentral.
UAGAGUUUGAUCAUGGCUCAGAUUGAACGCUGUCGGCAGGCCUAACACAUGCAAGUCGAACGGUAGCACAGAGAGCUUGCUCUCGGGUGACGAGUGGCGGACGGGUGAGUAAUGUCUGGGAAACUGCCCGAUGGAGGGGGAUAACUACUGGAAACGGUAGCUAAUACCGCAUAACGUCGCAAGACCAAAGUGGGGGACCUUCGGGCCUCAUGCCAUCAGAUGUGCCCAGAUGGGAUUAGCUAGUAGGUGGGGUAACGGCUCACCUAGGCGACGAUCCCUAGCUGGUCUGAGAGGAUGACCAGCCACACUGGAACUGAGACACGGCCCAGACUCCUACGGGAGGCAGCAGUGGGGAAUAUUGCACAAUGGGCGCAAGCCUGAUGCAGCCAUGCCGCGUGUAUGAAGAAGGCCUUCGGGUUGUAAAGUACUUUCAGCGGGGAGGAAGGGAGUAAGGUUAAUAACCUUAUUCAUUGACGUUACCCGCAGAAGAAGCACCGGCUAACUCCGUGCCAGCAGCCGCGGUAAU